GGAUUCCCCUAGUAACGGCGAGUGAAGAGGGAAAAGCCCAAAUUUGUAAUCUGGCUCUUUUUAUAAGGGUCCGAGUUGUAAUUUUGAGAACUGUUUUCCGUGCUGGACCAUGUACAAGUCUGUUGAAAAACAGCAUCAUUGAGGGUGAUAAUCCCGUAUAUGAUAUGGACUACCAGGGCAAUGUGAUACAGUCUCUAAGAGUCGAGUUGUUUGGGAAUGCAGCUCAAAGUGGGUGGUAAAUUCCAUCUAAGGCUAAAUAUAGGUGAGAGACCGAUAGCAAACAAGUACCGUGAGGGAAAGAUGAAAAGAACUUUGGAAAGAGAGUUAACAGUACGUGAAAUUGUUAAAAGGGAAACAUUUGAAGUUAGACUUGUUAUUGUUGGUUCAGCUCUUUUUAAGGGUGUAUUCCAAUGGUUAACAGACCAGCAUCAAUUUUUGAGUGUUAGAUAAGGGUCUUGAGAAUGUGGCAACCUCGGUUGUGUUAUAGAUCUUGACUUGAUAUGAUGCUUAGGAUUGAGGAACGCA
This 525-nucleotide ribosomal RNA is filed under the name Chrysomyxa empetri. RNAcentral describes it as "eukaryotic LSU rRNA". It matches the Rfam family "Eukaryotic large subunit ribosomal RNA", at positions 72 to 597 of the family's 3401-position model. Lineage: Eukaryota; Fungi; Basidiomycota; Pucciniomycetes; Pucciniales; Coleosporiaceae. The record is from RNAcentral.